GGGGUUGUACUGGUUUCGACGGGGAUUUUGAAGUUACGGAAGCCAUCCGCAGACCAGGACUGCGCAACAACUUGGACCUAAACACAAACGCAGAAGAUAAUUUUGCAUUAGCUGCCUAGUUGCAGCUUGUCGGCCUUAGGAAACCCACAGCUUAAGAGUCCGGCACCGAACAUGUGGGACCCUCAUACUCCUAAGCUUUGCAGAGUAUGAAGUAAUAUGAAGCUACUAAAAUCUUAUACCUGUCUCUGGGCGUAAGAUGGAGGGAAUGUCUAAUCAGAGACUGUGAUGGGAGAUGCCGUAAUGGAUGGGUUUUCGGACAGGGGUUCGAUUCCCCUCAGCUCCAUUU
Molecule: transfer-messenger RNA, 346 nt
Filed under: Lachnospiraceae bacterium
Lineage: Bacteria; Bacillati; Bacillota; Clostridia; Lachnospirales; Lachnospiraceae
Rfam family: transfer-messenger RNA
About the family: Bacterial tmRNA, also known as 10Sa RNA or SsrA, is named for its dual tRNA and mRNA-like properties. Its role is to liberate the mRNA from a stalled ribosome.
Source: RNAcentral